This 195-nucleotide ribosomal RNA is filed under the name uncultured bacterium. RNAcentral describes it as "partial 16S ribosomal RNA". It matches the Rfam family "Bacterial small subunit ribosomal RNA", at positions 1308 to 1500 of the family's 1533-position model. The record is from RNAcentral.
CAACUCGACUGCGUGAAGGUGGAGUCGCUAGUAAUCGCGGAUCAGCAACGCCGCGGUGAAUGCGUUCCCGGGCCUUGUACACACCGCCCGUCAAGUCAUGAAAGUGGGCAGCACCCGAAGACGGUGGCCUAACCCUUGUGGGGGGAGCCGUCUAAGGUGAGGCUCGUGAUUGGGACUAAGUCGUAACAAGGUAAC